Molecule: small nucleolar RNA, 122 nt
Filed under: Nannospalax galili (Upper Galilee mountains blind mole rat)
Lineage: Eukaryota; Metazoa; Chordata; Mammalia; Rodentia; Spalacidae
Description: Small nucleolar RNA SNORA71 (ENSNGAG00000004508.1)
Rfam family: Small nucleolar RNA SNORA71
About the family: The members of this family belong to the H/ACA class of snoRNAs which bind a number of proteins (including dyskerin, Gar1p and Nop10p) to form snoRNP complexes.
Source: Rfam by way of RNAcentral
CCCUAUAUUUGGAAGUGAUAGUGGGUUGUCUGUGCCCUGGGCAUUGAUACUACAAGGAGAGGAUGCUGACAGCCUUUCCCCGUGUUUGGAGAGUCCACUCCAAACCCUGGUGCUUCUGAACA